GAUGAACGCUGGCGGCGUGCCUAAUACAUGCAAGUCGAGCGAACGGACGAGAAGCUUGCUUCUCUGAUGUUAGCGGCGGACGGGUGAGUAACACGUGGAUAACCUACCUAUAAGACUGGGAUAACUUCGGGAAACCGGAGCUAUACCGGAUGAUAUUUUUAACCGCAUGGUUCAAAAGUGAAAGACGGUCUUGCUGUCACUUAUAGAUGGAUCCGCGCUGCAUUAGCUAGUUGGUAAGGUAACGGCUUACCAAGGCAACGAUGCAUAGCCGACCUGAGAGGGUGAUCGGCCACACUGGAACUGAGACACGGUCCAGACUCCUACGGGAGGCAGCAGUAGGGAAUCUUCCGCAAUGGGCGAAAGCCUGACGGAGCAACGCCGCGUGAGUGAUGAAGGUCUUCGGAUCGUAAAACUCUGUUAUUAGGGAAGAACAUAUGUGUAAGUAACUGUGCACAUCUUGACGGUACCUAAUCAGAAAGCCACGGCUAACUACGUG
Molecule: ribosomal RNA, 496 nt
Filed under: uncultured bacterium
Lineage: Bacteria
Description: partial 16S ribosomal RNA
Rfam family: Bacterial small subunit ribosomal RNA
Source: RNAcentral